RNAcentral lists this ribosomal RNA (253 nucleotides) under uncultured Prevotella sp. RNAcentral's name for it is "partial 16S ribosomal RNA". It matches the Rfam family "Bacterial small subunit ribosomal RNA", at positions 524 to 776 of the family's 1533-position model. Lineage: Bacteria; Pseudomonadati; Bacteroidota; Bacteroidia; Bacteroidales; Prevotellaceae. The record is from RNAcentral.
UACGGAAGGUCCGGGCGUUAUCCGGAUUUAUUGGGUUUAAAGGGAGCGUAGGCCGGUCUUUAAGCGUGCCGUGAAAUUUUGUGGCUCAACCAUGAGAGUGCGGCGCGAACUGGAGACCUUGAGUGCGCGGAAGGCAGGCGGAAUUCGUGGUGUAGCGGUGAAAUGCAUAGAUAUCACGCAGAACUCCGAUUGCGAAGGCAGCUUACUAAGCCAUAACUGACACUGAAGCACGAAAGCGUGGGGAUCAAACAGG